RNAcentral lists this ribosomal RNA (751 nucleotides) under uncultured bacterium. RNAcentral describes it as "bacterial SSU rRNA". It matches the Rfam family "Bacterial small subunit ribosomal RNA", at positions 66 to 796 of the family's 1533-position model. The record is from RNAcentral.
ACGCGAAAGGCCCCUUCGGGGGCCGAGUAGAGUGGCGCACGGGUGAGUAACACGUAGGUAAUUUGCCUUCGGGUGGGGAAUAACAGCCGGAAACGGCUGCUAAUACCGCAUAAUGCAGCGGCUCGACAUCGAGACAGUUGUUAAAGCGGGGGAUCGCAAGACCUCGCGCCUGAAGAGAAGCCUGCGGCAGAUUAGCUAGUUGGUAGGGUAAUGGCCUACCAAGGCGACGAUCUGUAACCGGCCUGAGAGGGCGGUCGGUCACACUGACACUGACAUACGGGUCAGACUCCUACGGGAGGCAGCAGUCGGGAAUUUUGGGCAAUGGGCGAAAGCCUGACCCAGCAACGCCGCGCGAAGGAUGAAAUCCCUCGGGAUGUAAACUUCGCAAGAAUGGGAAGAAUAAGUGCGGGCUAAUACCACGCACGAUGACGGUACCAUUUGUAAGCUCCGGCUAACUCCGUGCCAGCAGCCGCGGUAAUACGGGGGGAGCAAGCGUUGUUCGGAUUUACUGGGCGUAAAGGGCGCGUAGGCGGCCACGACAAGUCACUUGUGAAAUCUCCGGGCUUAACUCGGAACGGUCAAGUGAUACUGUCGGGCUAGAGUGCAGAAGGGGCAACUGGAAUUCUCGGUGUAGCGGUGAAAUGCGUAGAUAUCGAGAGGAACACCUGCGGCGAAGGCGGAUUGCUGGGCUGACACUGACGCUGAGGCGCGAAAGCCAGGGGAGCGAACGGAUUAGAUACCCCGGUAGUCC